AGCUGCGACUGUAUAUGUUAACUUGUAUCGAAUUUUAGGGUUGCCGUAGCUGCUGCUGCCGUUGCCGCAUCUCAUUCAAUUCGUUUCGUUUAACAAACAAAACACGAUGCAAUGAAGAGAAACAAAGGAAUGAUGGUUAAGCCAACCAUCGAUUGCGGCUCAUUCCGCAACUUGAUUCUUUUACUCCUAUGGUUCCUAUGGAGGAAGCGCUUUAAGUCAGUGCGCUUUUUCUUCAAGUUUGCCUUCGGAGAUUGAAUGGAGAUCCGAUCUCAAUUCCAAAAGUGUUCCUGCAUUUUGCUUGGAUCUACUUUUGUAAGUGAUUUUCUCACAUCAUUAUUAUUAACAUUAUGAAACUAUAAAUGCGAAGGUCCCAGCAGGGAGGCGAGUUACUCAUAUUGUUGAGGCCUCUCUAACAAUGAAAUUUAACACCCUUCGCAGAGUUAUUUGCCGAAUCGUAAGAUGCCCAAAUUUUUCUUUCAUUUUGGUGCAUCUAGAACCCUCGGCUAUAUUUUUUAUUUCCUCUAAAAACUACAUAUCUUCUGCUCUAUAAUUCACAUCAUUUUCUUUUUUCAUUUUGUACAAAUGAGUGGAAAUCAUUUUCACUUUUUUGGCUUUAUCA
Molecule: long non-coding RNA, 619 nt
Organism: Glycine soja
Lineage: Eukaryota; Viridiplantae; Streptophyta; Magnoliopsida; Fabales; Fabaceae
Exons: 2
Source: RefSeq, a predicted model, not a curated record